CGUACACUCCUACGGGAGGCAGCAGUGGGGAAUUUUGGACAAUGGGCGAAAGCCUGAUCCAGCCAUGCCGCGUGCAGGAUGAAGGCCUUCGGGUUGUAAACUGCUUUUGUACGGAACGAAACGGCCUUUUCUAAUAAAGAGGGCUAAUGACGGUACCGUAAGAAUAAGCACCGGCUAACUACGUGCCAGCAGCCGCGGUAAUACGUAGGGUGCAAGCGUUAAUCGGAAUUACUGGGCGUAAAGCGUGCGCAGGCGGUUAUGUAAGACAGUUGUGAAAUCCCCGGGCUCAACCUGGGAACUGCAUCUGUGACUGCAUAGCUAGAGUACGGUAGAGGGGGAUGGAAUUCCGCGUGUAGCAGUGAAAUGCGUAGAUAUGCGGAGGAACACCGAUGGCGAAGGCAAUCCCCUGGACCUGUACUGACGCUCAUGCACGAAAGCGUGGGGAGCAAACAGGAUUAGAUACCCCGGUAGUCCC
This 475-nucleotide ribosomal RNA is filed under the name uncultured organism. RNAcentral describes it as "partial 16S ribosomal RNA". It matches the Rfam family "Bacterial small subunit ribosomal RNA", at positions 330 to 797 of the family's 1533-position model. The record is from RNAcentral.